Molecule: ribosomal RNA, 253 nt
Filed under: uncultured bacterium
Lineage: Bacteria
Description: partial 16S ribosomal RNA
Rfam family: Bacterial small subunit ribosomal RNA
Source: RNAcentral
UACGUAGGGUGCGAGCGUUAAUCGGAAUUACUGGGCGUAAAGCGUGCGCAGGCGGUUUUGUAAGCCAGAUGUGAAAUCCCCGGGCUUAACCUGGGAAUGGCAUUUGGGACUGCAAGGCUUGAGUUUGGCAGAGGAGACUGGAAUUCCUGGUGUAGCAGUGAAAUGCGUAGAUAUCAGGAGGAAUACCGACGGCGAAGGCAGGUCUCUGGGCUAGAACUGACGCUCAUGCACGAAAGCGUGGGGAGCAAACAGG